UACGGGGGGGGCAAGCGUUGUUCGGAAUUACUGGGCGUAAAGGGCUCGUAGGCGGCCAACUAAGUCGGACGUGAAAUCCCCAGGCUCAACCUGGGAACUGCGUCCGAUACUGGAUGGCUUGAAUCCGGGAGAGGGAUGCAGAAUUCCAGGUGUAGCGGUGAAAUGCGUAGAUAUCUGGAGGAACACCGGUGGCGAAGGCGGCAUCCUGGACCGGCAUUGACGCUGAUGAGCGAAAGCCAGGGGAGCAAACGGG
RNAcentral lists this ribosomal RNA (253 nucleotides) under uncultured bacterium. RNAcentral describes it as "partial 16S ribosomal RNA". It matches the Rfam family "Bacterial small subunit ribosomal RNA", at positions 524 to 776 of the family's 1533-position model. The record is from RNAcentral.